CCAAUGUGAAACCAGAGUCAUCUUUAAUGAUUCCAGAAUUUAUAUCAACCCAUUUACACUUGAAAACAGGGACUCUAAACCUGACAUAAUCCACCUCCCAUAUUUCUUGUAUUACUCCAAAAUAACUAAUUGCUGCAGUGAUUGGAUUUUUGUCUUUAGAACUACAGAAGUGCACUGACUCAGCUUUUAGUGUAACCCCACUAUUUUGAACUCUACUUUUAUCAUCUUCUUC
Molecule: long non-coding RNA, 232 nt
Filed under: Vigna radiata
Lineage: Eukaryota; Viridiplantae; Streptophyta; Magnoliopsida; Fabales; Fabaceae
Description: long non-coding RNA (VRAD_LNC004840)
Source: RNAcentral